UACGGGGGGUGCAAGCGUUAAUCGGAAUUACUGGGCGUAAAGCGCACGCAGGCGGUUGAUUAAGUUAGAUGUGAAAUCCCCGGGCUUAACCUGGGAAUGGCAUCUAAAACUGGUCAGCUAGAGUCUCGUAGAGGGGGGUAGAAUUCCAGGUGUAGCGGUGAAAUGCGUAGAGAUCUGGAGGAAUACCGGUGGCGAAGGCGGCCCCCUGGACGAAGACUGACGCUCAGGUGCGAAAGCGUGGGGAGCAAACAGG
Molecule: ribosomal RNA, 253 nt
Filed under: uncultured bacterium
Lineage: Bacteria
Description: partial 16S ribosomal RNA
Rfam family: Bacterial small subunit ribosomal RNA
Source: RNAcentral